This 301-nucleotide ribosomal RNA is filed under the name uncultured bacterium. RNAcentral describes it as "partial 16S ribosomal RNA". It matches the Rfam family "Bacterial small subunit ribosomal RNA", at positions 509 to 807 of the family's 1533-position model. The record is from RNAcentral.
CAGCAGCCACGGGAAUACGUAGGGUGCAAGCGUUAAUUGGAAUUACUGGGCGUAAAGCGUGCGCAGGCGGUUUGUUAAGACAGAUGUGAAAUCCCCGGGUUUAACCUGGGAACUGCAUUUGUGACUGGCAAGCUAGAGUCUGGCAGAGGGGGGUGGAAUUCCGCGUGUAGCAGUGAAAUGCGUAGAUAUGCGGAGGAACACCGAUGGCGAAGGCAGCCCCCUGGGCCAACACUGACGCUCAUGCACGAAAGCGUGGGGAGCAAACAGGAUUAGAUACCCCGGUAGUCCCUGUCUCUUAUAC